CCUACGGGAGGCAGCAGUGAGGAAUAUUGGUCAAUGGGCGAGAGCCUGAACCAGCCAAGUCGCGUGAGGGAAGACGGUCCUAUGGAUUGUAAACCUCUUUUGUCGGGGAGCAAAAGGCGGUACGCGUAGCGCACCGAGAGUACCCGGAGAAAAAGCAUCGGCUAACUCCGUGCCAGCAGCCGCGGUAAUACGGAGGAUCCGAGCGUUAUCCGGAUGUAUUGGGUUUAAAGGGAGCGUAGAUGGGUUGUGAAGUCAGUGGUGAAAGUUUGCGGCGCAACCGUAAAAUUGCAAUUGAUACUGGCAGCCUUGAGUACAGAUGAGGUAGGCGGAAUUCGUGGUGUAGCGGUGAAAGGCUUAGAUAUAACGAAGAACUCCGAUUGCGAAGGCAGCCUACUAAACUGCCACUGACAUUGAUGCUCGAAAGUGUGGGUAUCAAACAGGAUUAGAUACCCUAGUAGUC
RNAcentral lists this ribosomal RNA (460 nucleotides) under uncultured bacterium. RNAcentral's name for it is "partial 16S ribosomal RNA". It matches the Rfam family "Bacterial small subunit ribosomal RNA", at positions 338 to 795 of the family's 1533-position model. The record is from RNAcentral.